AACGAUAAAGGCGUGAUAGCAUGACAUUAAAUUAGGGUAACAAUUUUCGAAACUCACGGGAGGCAGCAGUGGGGAAUUUUUCGCAAUGGGCGAAAGCCUAAUGGAGCAAUGCCGCGUGGAGGUAGAAGGCCCACGGGUCGUGAACUUCUUUUCCCGGAGAAGAAGCAAUGAUGGUAUCUGGGGAAUAAGCAAAAAAUAAUCAUU
RNAcentral lists this ribosomal RNA (204 nucleotides) under Olea europaea subsp. europaea. Its description in RNAcentral is "Bacterial small subunit ribosomal RNA". It matches the Rfam family "Bacterial small subunit ribosomal RNA", at positions 279 to 505 of the family's 1533-position model. Lineage: Eukaryota; Viridiplantae; Streptophyta; Magnoliopsida; Lamiales; Oleaceae. The record is from Rfam by way of RNAcentral.